CUGGUCUUCAUGUUUUAUCUUCAGAAUCUGCUAAAGUUCCUUGGUUUGAUAGUGUUUUUGCCGAUAUUGGCGAUGAGCAUUCCUUGUCUCAAUCAUUAUCUACAUUCUCUGGACACUUGAAACAAAUUAGUGAAAUCCAAUCAAAGUCGACAAGCCAAUCACUCGUGCUAUUAGAUGAAGUCGGUGCUGGAACUAAUCCCCUUGAAGGAGCAGCACUAGGGAUGUCUGCUAGAAUCUUUUGCUAAAAGUGGCGCAUUGUUGACAAUAGCUACAACGCAUCAUGGCGAACUUAAAACUUUGAAAUACAGUAAUGAUACUUUUGAAAAUGCUUGCAUGGAGUUUGAUGAAGAGAAUUUGAAGUCAACUUACAAAAUUCUCUGGGGAGUACCAAG
Molecule: long non-coding RNA, 392 nt
Organism: Hibiscus syriacus
Lineage: Eukaryota; Viridiplantae; Streptophyta; Magnoliopsida; Malvales; Malvaceae
Exons: 4
Source: RefSeq, a predicted model, not a curated record